Molecule: ribosomal RNA, 324 nt
Filed under: uncultured bacterium
Lineage: Bacteria
Description: bacterial SSU rRNA
Rfam family: Bacterial small subunit ribosomal RNA
Source: RNAcentral
GAUGAACGCUGGCGGCGUGCUUAACACAUGCAAGUCGAACGAAGCACUUAAGCGGAUCUCUUCGGACUGAAGCUUUUGUGACUGAGUGGCGGACGGGUGAGUAACGCGUGGGUAACCUGCCUCAUACAGGGGGAUAACAGUUAGAAAUGACUGCUAAUACCGCAUAAGCGCACGAUACCGCAUGGUAUUGUGUGAAAAACUCCGGUGGUAUGAGAUGGACCCGCGUCUGAUUAGCUAGUUGGCAGGGCAACGGCCUACCAAGGCGACGAUCAGUAGCCGACCUGAGAGGGUGACCGGCCACAUUGGGACUGAGACACGGCCCAA